RNAcentral lists this transfer RNA (73 nucleotides) under Ailuropoda melanoleuca (giant panda). It matches the Rfam family "tRNA". From Rfam's summary of the family: Transfer RNA (tRNA) molecules are approximately 80 nucleotides in length. Their secondary structure includes four short double-helical elements and three loops (D, anti-codon, and T loops). Lineage: Eukaryota; Metazoa; Chordata; Mammalia; Carnivora; Ursidae. The record is from Rfam by way of RNAcentral.
GCCUGGCUGGCUCAGUUGGAAGAGCAUGGGACUCUUAAUCUCAGGGUCAUGAGUUCGAGCCCCACAUUGGGCA